RNAcentral lists this Y RNA (115 nucleotides) under Carlito syrichta (Philippine tarsier). RNAcentral describes it as "Y RNA (ENSTSYG00000037350.1)". It matches the Rfam family "Y RNA". From Rfam's summary of the family: Y RNAs are components of the Ro ribonucleoprotein particle (Ro RNP), in association with Ro60 and La proteins. The Y RNAs and Ro60 and La proteins are well conserved, but the function of the Ro RNP is not known. In humans the RNA component can be one of four small RNAs -- hY1, hY3, hY4 and hY5. The record is from Rfam by way of RNAcentral. Lineage: Eukaryota; Metazoa; Chordata; Mammalia; Primates; Tarsiidae.
GACUGGUCCGAAGGUAGUGAGUUAACUCAGUUGGUUGUUCACAGUCAAUUACAGAUUGAACUCCUUGUUCUUCUACUCUUUCCUCCUUCUCGCUACUGCACUUGACUAGUCUUUA